CGAUAACUCACAUAGCAGGGUUAUUUGUUUUCGUAUUUUCAUCACCAGAGGAAAUAACAGGAGACUUGGGAAAAGGCGUUUCUCUUGCACGUUUUUGAGCUCCGUCUAAAACUUGCCCACUGUCCCCCUCUAGUGGUCAAGCUCAUAGCCUGGGGAUAAUACCAUGCCUGGAUGCUGCUUCAAAGCAUUUAAACCAAUUGAGCUCCGGUGGGAUACUGGAUGUCAAAGCCCACUGCCAGCCAAUUGCUGUUGACAGACUGAAUGAAGUAAUCUCCUUGUGGCCAGGAUUUAUCAUGUGCUUGGAUGCUAUUCAUGACAGGCAUUGAAGAACCUGAUUUGCAGGUGCCGCUUAAUCCAGCAUGAGGUCUUAACUUUGUAUUCAGUAACCUGUUUUCAUUUAUGAUGAAAUUAUCUCAAAGACGAAACCAGAAGAAUAAACCUAGCAUUAUAUAAUGUGAUGUUUGGAGUUGGUCAGUUUUUCCACUAUACAGUAUAUAGUAUCAGACCUAGGACUUAAAAUGUACUUAAAAAUAAUCUGGUUUAAUUCGGUCUAUGAUGAUCAAUCAGAUGAACAGAAGCACAUUUCAAUACUAUCUGCACCAAUGUGACUUUCACAAAAAUUCCAGAAAAAAAUUGAACAUUUUGUGUGUGCACAGGGAACCUUGUUUAAAUGCUUAAAAAACUCAAAAUUAGUCCACUGCAGAAUGCUGUUUACUUGGAUACUGCAAACCAGACAUUUUACACAAUACAGUAAUUGAAUACUCAAGGACAGAAAACAAUCAGGUUGUCUUGUACUGUAUAUCUUUUAUCUGUUUAAAUGUUUAAAUAUAUGACAUCAGUACUUCUUUUGUUUUACUGCGUGUUUAACUCUAAAAAACCUCCUUCAGCGGUAGAGUCUUUUGUGCCCUGCCAGCAGGAACUUCCCCUAUAAUGAAUGAAUAUCUGUUUAAUAUUAGUUUAUCACUGUAAACAAACUUUAUUUUCUGCUUGAGCUAAACAAAGGCCAAAAAAUGUGUUUAUUUCUUAGAAAUAAUAAAUAUUAAUAUAAUGACAUAUCAAAAUAUAACACACCCACAUGCAUGCUUUUUUAUUUUUCAACACUUUAUUGAGCUCAUGUGAGCUUUUUUGGACAGGAAGAAUUAUUGUUCCUUUUCAUGAUACUUUACUAUCUACAAAUAUUUAUGAGGUGCCGUUUCGGCCAUUAUUCAAACUUUAUCUCUCAUAAACGCUCAAAUUGCUCUCACCCUCUCCAUUUUACCUCUCACAUACACAUAAAAUGCUCUCACACUCUCCAUUUUACCUCUCGCAUACACAUAAAACAA
This is a long non-coding RNA of Lepisosteus oculatus (spotted gar), 1322 nucleotides long. RefSeq lists it as uncharacterized. The record is from RefSeq and is a predicted model, not a curated record. Lineage: Eukaryota; Metazoa; Chordata; Actinopteri; Semionotiformes; Lepisosteidae.